CAAAUAUAGUUGAUAUAUUGGAAUGUGGCUUAAUUGAAUUAUAUGCCGCGGUCCGUAAUACAUACAGGAUACUAUGGCAAGAGUGCUUUAGUUUGUAUACGUGCAACUAUAGUAGAAACAAUUGGGCACACUUUUUUGAGAUAUUCACGUCCGUCUAAUGAUUCCGCUUCCUACUAUCAAACAAAAUGAUCUAGCCAUGAUGACAAAAGUUCCAGAGUGAAGGAAUUGACAGGACUAGGCACCACCCUUCAAUUUCUGAAGAAGACUGCGUUCAUCAGAUGGCUUAUCCAUUCAUAACCCAAAGACUUCAAUGGAAAAUCUUGUUCGACUUGUGUUUUGAGUUGUAGAAGAGGGG
Molecule: long non-coding RNA, 355 nt
Filed under: Mytilus galloprovincialis (Mediterranean mussel)
Lineage: Eukaryota; Metazoa; Mollusca; Bivalvia; Mytilida; Mytilidae
Source: RNAcentral